RNAcentral lists this ribosomal RNA (192 nucleotides) under Triticum aestivum (bread wheat). RNAcentral's name for it is "partial small subunit ribosomal RNA". Lineage: Eukaryota; Viridiplantae; Streptophyta; Magnoliopsida; Poales; Poaceae. The record is from RNAcentral.
AUGUUGCGGCAUCGCACCGCAACUAACCAUCAACGCCAUCGUGCUGCCAACAGCGCCCACCUUGCGCCGUCUUGCCGUGGACGACGCUGUCGCGGCGCCGAGUACCACGACCUCUUGCCGCACGCAGCGGCCAUGUCUUCACAUGGACGACGCCUUCGCGGCGCCGAUCGCCACGCCGUCUUCUCCUCAUAA